GGAAGGGAGGUGACCUCAGAAGGGGAUCAUCCACCUCAGACCAAGGGCUGGGGAGCCUUGGGACCAACCCUAGAGUCUGGGAGGGUUGGUUUGGUGCUAGUUCUAGCAGCAUCCCUGAUCAAACUUGCUUCCAGAAGGAUGGGCAUCCAGUCGCACCAUGUCUGUGACCAGCAGGAAGAUGGGACUAUCCCUGGCUCAGGAGAUCCUCAGCCACCUGGGCCUUGCCAACAAGAAUGCAGUGAAAGGGAACUGCUGGUCAGCCCUACUAGCCCUGUGCAGGGCUGAAGACCUCUGAGACCUCAUCCCCAUAUGACCUUCAAGAAUCUGAGAUUCCCAUGUAUGGGUGAGCCUGCAGGAGACCAGCUGGGCCUCCAAAUAAAAUAACCCCUCACUUGAGCACCA
Molecule: long non-coding RNA, 402 nt
Organism: Orcinus orca (killer whale)
Lineage: Eukaryota; Metazoa; Chordata; Mammalia; Artiodactyla; Delphinidae
Exons: 3
Source: RefSeq, a predicted model, not a curated record